Molecule: long non-coding RNA, 5246 nt
Organism: Pantherophis guttatus
Lineage: Eukaryota; Metazoa; Chordata; Lepidosauria; Squamata; Colubridae
Source: RefSeq, a predicted model, not a curated record
CGCCAUCCUUUGAGAUGCCGGCGUCGCUGCUUCUCUCCGGACGGAGCUCAGUGCCCGAGCCCCCCGUUGAUUCCUCUAAGUCUAAGAUCUGUUGGUUACCAGCCCAUGCAGAUGCAAUGGAUUCCAAAGGAGGAAGAGGAAGAACUGCAGGAGUAAAAAUGGAAUGCCUGGUGAAACUUUAAAGAUUCACACAUUUAUCAUUGCUUAAGCUUUCAUAGAGCACAGUGGACUUCAAGUGGUUGGCAGCAGUUCUGGAAAAAGGAGCGCUGCCUAUAUUGGUGGAGAAGUGGGAGAAUAUUGUGGCCUUCAUAUACAUGUAGCCCUUCACUUACGACCACAAUUGGGAACAGAAUUUCUGUUUCUAAGCAAGGUGGUUGUUGAGUCACACCCAAUUUUAUGUCCUCCUUGCCAUGAUUUUUUUUUAAAUUUGAUUUAUAUGCCGCCCUUCUCUGGAGACUCAGGGCAGCUUACAAUGCGUUAAGCAAUAGCCUUCAUACUUUUGUAUAUUUAUACAGUCAGCUUAUUGCCCCCACAAACUGGGUUCUCAAUUUACCUACCUUAGAAAGGAUGGAAGGCUGAGUCAACCUUGAGCCUGGUGAGAUUCGAACUUACAGUAAUCACAGACAGCUGGUGUUAAUCACAAUACUAUCAGUCUGUUGAGCCACCAGGCCCCAUUGAGUGAAUUACUGCAGUUGUUAAGUGAAUGAGUGGUCAUUAAGCAAAUCCAGCUUCCCUCCAAUUGACUUUGAUUGUCAGAAGCCAGCUGGUCACUUUAUCACACUGAUAUGAUCUUCAGAGGCAAAAAGCAAACAAUUCAGCGGCUUAAUAAAAUGUAUGAAGCUGACCAGUGAGAAUAACAUUCAGGGGAGCAUGUGGCAUUCCAGAUAUUAGAACCCCCCAAACUCCCUGCUAUUUGUUGCUCGUUUCUGCAAAAUUCCAGGAAAGUCGGCAGGUUAUGAUUUUCUCACUCCUGAUGCAUGCUUUUUGGAUUUCUUGUUUACAUGACAUAUAUUUUCCUUAGAGGUAAACUUAUGCCCUGGAAUGGAUAUACGAUUUCACCAAACUUAAUAAAAAAAUAUAAAGUUUCUCAAGGUUUUUUUGCAGUUAGCAUAACAAACUUGCUCAACAAAAUAUAUCUUGACCUUCCUUCCACAGCAGGAAACACCACACCAGUUUUUCGUGCUUCUAGUUUUAGCAAAUUUUGUUUCCUUUUGCAGAACCAAUAAAUAUCAGAAGGAAAUGCUAUUUUCCAAGCUGUAAUGCCUGCAAAGUAGAUAGUCCACAAUUUACAGCCACAAUUGAUCCCAACAUUGCUAAUUGUUGCUAAGUGAGACAGUAAGUUUUGCCUCAUUUUAUAUCUUUUCCCGCAGUUGUUAAUAACACAGUUGUUAAGUGAAUCUAGCUUUCCCAUUGACUUUGCUUAUCAGGUCACAAAAAGUGAUCACAUGACCCCAGGACACUUGAACCGUCAUAAAUAUGAGUCAAUUGCCAAGGGUCUGGAUUUUGGUCAUGUGACCAUAGGGAUGCUGCAACGGUUGUGUGAAAAAUGGCAACUGAACGGUUACCAAAUGAACUGUUGUAAGUGGAGGACUACAUGUAAAAACCCUGUGGCAAACUUUACGCUUGUAUGUGCCCUCACAAGGACAUGGUGACUCAGUGGCUAAGAUGCUGAGCUUGUUGAUUGAAAGGUUGGCAGUUCAGCGGUUGAAUCCCUAAGUGCCGCGUAACGGGGUGAGCUCCCGUUACCUGUCCCAGCUUCUGCCAACCUAGCAGUUCGAAAGCACGUAAAAAAUGCAAGUAGAAAAAUAGGGACCACCUUUGGUGGGAAGGUAACAGCGUUCCAUACGCCUUUGGCGUUUAGUCAUGCUGGCCACAUGACCACAGUGAUGUCUUCGGACAGCGCUGGCUCUUUGGCAAAUGGAGAUGAGCACCGCCCCCUAGAGUCAGGAACGACUAGAACAUAUGUGAGGGGAACCUUUACCUUUACCUAUGUGCCCUUACAGAAUCCUUUAAUGGUGUUCUUAUGAUCUAAAGUGAAACAAUGUUGAGGUUUUGGCUUGCUUCCUAAAAGUAUAUAGGCAGUUUUUGACUUAAAGUCGUUCAUUUAGUGACUGUUUGAAGUUAUAACAGCACUGAAAAAGUUAUUUAUGACUGUUUUUCACAACUGUUGCAGCAUCCGCAUGGCCACGUGAUCAAAAUUUGGCAGCUGGCAUGUCCUCUUAGGGUCAUGUAAUUUAUCUUUUGUGACCUUCUGAUAAGUAAAGUCAAUGGGGAAGCCAGAUUCACCUAACAUCUGUGGCAAGAAAUGUAAAAUGGGGCAAAAUUCACUUAACUGUCUUACUUGGCAAUGGAAAUUUUCAGCUCAAUUGUGGUCAUAGGUCGAGGACUACCUGUAUGAUAAAAAGUUUAUAUAUAUUUGUCUAUGGCUAUAAGUUCUAUUCUAAGCAAAAUGUACCAUUCAUGAAAUUUUCACACACAUAUAUUAGGGCUGCUUUGCUCAGUUGUGUUUUCUGUCACUUUUUGUGUUUAUUUAUUAAUGAUUGCUAACUUCAACAUGUAGUCCUAGGCCUUCUCUAGUGUUUUCCAGCUACCUGAAAUCACCAGGGCAGCAGUGGCUGUUUUAAUACAACUCCCAGCAGUCUGUCAAUCCUGCUAUGGUAAAUGUUGUGUGACUCUUAAAUUGAUGCACAUUAUCCACCUUCACACCAGUAUAUUAGAUUAUACUGCCACCUAUAGAUCCUUAAGUUGUAAUAUUCCAGAUGUGGUUCGGAUAACAAGUUCCAGAGUUUUCAACCAGAUAACAGUUGUAGGCUUAAAAUUUCUGAAAGGUACCAGUUGGAAAGGCUGAGUUGGAUUAUAGUUAUAAGCUAAACAAGAACUUCAAGGAUUGUUACACUUUUGCAGUAUGAUUUACUACAAGUAGUCCUCAACUUAUGACAGGCCUCUUAGUGACUGUUUGAAGUUAUAAUGAACCCAAAAAAAGAUACAACACAGAUUCACAGUAACAAUGGUUACCCUGCCCCCCACCGAACAUGAUUACAUUUUGGCUACUCAGAAACUAGUCCCCAUACAUGUCCAUUUGCAGCAUCCUGCUAUUAUGAGUGUAGUUUGUUUUUUGAUGAAAAUAGGCAUUUAUGUCUGGUUUCUAGCAAAAAAAAAAUGCCUAUUGUAGACAACAGGUUCACUUAAUGACUGUAGCAUUUGCUUAAUGAUUGCAGAUUUGCUUAACGACCAUGAUGAUUCACUUAACAACCACUGCAAAAAAAGUCAUAGUUAGUGAUUACUCACUUGACCGGCACAAUGUACAACCAUCAUUCUGGGCUCAAUUACAGUUUUACAUUAGAAUUACCUGCGUAUAAUUGAGUAUAAUUAGAUUAUAUGCGAGACAAAAUAAUUUUAUUCUAAUAACCAUCCAGUGAAAUUUAGAAAGAGAAGCUUAAACAGGACAUUUGAUCUUGGAUGUCUCAGGAUCAGCUUUUGCUCCAGUGCAGCAAGCUGACUUCUUAGCUGGGUUUGUGUUAAACAAUAAAGUGCAAAAACCACCCACUGUGCUUUGUAAACUAUGGUUAACCAAAAAAUAAUUUACCAUUAGAUAUGAAUGCAGUCAGUUGGUCAAGCGUUUUCUAGGCAGCUGCACAACAGGAGCAACUAUCUUUAUAAAAGGGGGUUCAACACAGAAUGGAAAUCAGAUUGGCAACCUCCAAUGAAAGACAUUAAUAGGGUGACAUAUUUGAUAGUGUGCCUAUCAAGCAAAGAUCUAACUGGUUUUGAAAAACUAAGGAUACUUGAUUUAUACACUUCUGUUUAUUGUGACUGUGAGGCCCAAGAGAACAGUACGGCUGCAUCUGGUCGUUGUCAUCAAUUUAGCACCGCCCAGGGAGUACAUAUAAUAAUAAUGUAGCUACAGCAUUGAUAUUUAUCAAAAGUCGUCAUAAAAACCAGAGUCUAAGAAAUGAUAGGAUGUGCCUCAGGAAGUGUUGCCUUCUAAAGCACAUCUUAUCUCAUCCCAAAACAUUAACACAAAUAUUGUUUUGCUUCAGAACCACUAGCUUAGCUACGUACAAAUGCAAUGAGGUAAGCAGUCACACUUAACUCACCGUGAAAAUCUAUAAAGGAGUUGUGUUGUUGAAGUACAUCUGUUUCAGGCUCAUAACAAGAGACUUUGGUGAGGAUUUUUUUUUGUUUGUUUUUUUGUUACAAGACACGUAGCAAAUAUAGAGCUUAGGAUUCAAAGACCACAAUGACCUUUGACAUAAGGCUACCACAAGGCUCUUGUGAAGCGAAUUAAUAGGGGAAGUGCUGGCACAUAGCACCCAGGCUCCUUCCUGUUACUGGUGUUGGGCAUUCUGGGUUUUAUUUAUGCCAACAUCAGCACCUCCAGGAUAAAAUAGCCUUACAUCAUGGUAAGUCAUUGGAGUUCUUUUAGUUUUGUUUGAGGUAUAGGGAUAUAUCACAUAUUUUGUCUAGUGUUGUUGCAUGUCAUUGUUAAGGAUAAUUUUCCUACGAGAGCUGUACCUUUUCUCUUUUCCUGCAAGCUUGAUUUGGGCCAAGUAUUGUAUGUCUCAGUAUGGAUUGCAUAAAAGGGUGUGAAAUUAAUACACUAGAACAUUCUCUGCUGCAUAGUAAACUUAUAGUGUCCUUUAUAUAAACAACUAUUUAAUAAUUAAUGCUCAUAAUAGAGUAUUCUAAUUUUAUUACUUAUGAUGGAUUUUGGUCUAUCAGUGUAUUUUAGACAGUGAAUUGUUUUGAGCUGAAAAGUCACUUGUGGAAAAUGUAGCAUUAGUAGUUCAAUGGAUUACAACGCAUCUAGAUUCAAGAUCGAUAUUAAAGCAGCCAUUUCCUAUAUGUAAAUUUUUAUUUCACAGAUUAUUGAAUGUGAAAAGAGCAAAACUGAGGAAGCAAUCCAAUGAACACUUACUAGGAAGGAAGUCCACUAAACUGAGUAAGACUUGCUUCUGGAUAAAGAUGCAUAAGGAAAUCCUCAGGCCUCAAACCUUGUCAAUGCCCAUGUAAUGCAAAUACUUUUGGUUCUGCUAUAUAUAAAAAAGAAUGUCUUCUGUAUCAUGUACAUACUUUUGGACAAUAAUGCAAAUUAGCUAACUGAUCCUACUUCUGCCUCAAUUAAAAAGGAUUUGGGAACUGGCAAGUUGUAUUUGAAAAAGAAACAAAAAACUAUUGUAAGCUGACUUUUUCCCUAUAAAAGUCUGAAAAGUAAUAGUCUACAUUAAAUGACAUUUUUGUUUCCA